This 936-nucleotide ribosomal RNA is filed under the name Mesorhizobium sp. RNAcentral's name for it is "partial 23S ribosomal RNA". It matches the Rfam family "Bacterial large subunit ribosomal RNA", at positions 458 to 1396 of the family's 2925-position model. The record is from RNAcentral. Lineage: Bacteria; Pseudomonadati; Pseudomonadota; Alphaproteobacteria; Hyphomicrobiales; Phyllobacteriaceae.
CUCCAAGGCUAAAUACUACUGACUGACCGAUAGUGAACCAGUACCGUGAGGGAAAGGCGAAAAGAACCCCGGAGAGGGGAGUGAAAUAGAUCCUGAAACCGUAUGCGUACAAGCAGUGGGAGCAGACUUCGUUCUGUGACUGCGUACCUUUUGUAUAAUGGGUCAGCGACUUAUUUUCAGUGGCGAGCUUAACCGAAUAGGGGAGGCGUAGCGAAAGCGAGUCUUAAUAGGGCGUCUAGUCGCUGGGAAUAGACCCGAAACCGGGCGAUCUAUCCAUGGGCAGGUUGAAGGUUAGGUAACACUGACUGGAGGACCGAACCGACUACCGUUGAAAAGUUAGCGGAUGACCUGUGGAUCGGAGUGAAAGGCUAAUCAAGCUCGGAGAUAGCUGGUUCUCCUCGAAAGCUAUUUAGGUAGCGCCUCAUGUAUCACUGUAGGGGGUAGAGCACUGUUUCGGCUAGGGGGUCAUCCCGACUUACCAAACCGAUGCAAACUCCGAAUACCUACAAGUGCCGAGCAUGGGAGACACACGGCGGGUGCUAACGUCCGUCGUGAAAAGGGAAACAACCCAGACCGUCAGCUAAGGUCCCAAAGUUAUGGUUAAGUGGGAAACGAUGUGGGAAGGCUUAGACAGCUAGGAGGUUGGCUUAGAAGCAGCCACCCUUUAAAGAAAGCGUAAUAGCUCACUAGUCGAGUCGGCCUGCGCGGAAGAUGUAACGGGGCUCAAACCAUACACCGAAGCUACGGGUAUCACGUAAGUGAUGCGGUAGAGGAGCGUUCUGUAAGCCUGUGAAGGUGAGUUGAGAAGCUUGCUGGAGGUAUCAGAAGUGCGAAUGCUGACAUGAGUAACGACAAUGGGUGUGAAAAACAUCCACGCCGAAAGACCAAGGGUUCCUGCGCAACGUUAAUCGACGCAGGGUUAGUCGGUUCCUAAGG